Molecule: ribosomal RNA, 401 nt
Filed under: uncultured bacterium
Lineage: Bacteria
Description: bacterial SSU rRNA
Rfam family: Bacterial small subunit ribosomal RNA
Source: RNAcentral
GAAUAUUGCACAAUGGGCGCAAGCCUGAUGCAGCGACGCCGCGUGGGUGAAGAAGGAUUUCGGUCUGUAAAGCCCUUUUCUGUGUGACGAGAGUGGACGGUAGCACAGGAAUAAGUCUCGGCUAACUACGUGCCAGCAGCCGCGGUAAAACGUAGGAGGCACGCGUUAUCCGGAGUUACUGGGCGUAAAGCGCGUGCAGGUGGAUGGAUCAGGUGGUGAUGAAAGCGCCUGGCUAAACUGGGAGAGGUUGACCAAUACUGUCGAUCUAGAGUGGAGCAGAGGUAAACGGAAUUCCGCGUGUAGUGGUGAAAUGCGUAGAGAUGCGGAAGAACACCAGUGGCGAAGGCGGUUUACUGGGCUCCAACUGACACUCAGACGCGAAAGCAUGGGUAGCGAACGGG